GCCAGUUGAUGAAUCUGCAGAUUCGCCUUUGCGGCGUGAUAGACAUGCAGUCGGACGAGAUUUUCCGUGUAGCAUACGAUGGAAAGUCUAGUGGCGGACGGGUGCUUAACACGUGGCAACCUGCCAGGAAGUGGGGGAUAGCUCGCCGAAAGGCGAAUUAAUACCGCAUGUGAUUAGAGAGGACAUCCUUUCGAAAUUAAAGUCGGGGCAACCUGACGCUUCUUGUGGGGCCCGCGGCCUAUCAGCUAGUUGGUGAGGUAACAGCUCACCAAGGCUUUGACGGGUAGCUGGUCUGAGAGGACGACCAGCCACACUGGGACUGAGACACGGCCCAGACACCUACGGGUGGCAGCAGUCGAGAAUUUUUGACAAUGGGGGAAACCCUGAUCGAGCGACGCCGCGUGGAGGAUGAAGGUCCUCGGAUUGUAAACUCCUGUCAUUGGGGAACAAGGUGCAUACGUUAACUGCGUGUGCAUUGAUAGUACCCGAAGAGGAAGAGACGGCUAACUCUGUGCCAGCAGCCGCGGUAAUACAGAGGUCUCAAGCGUUGUUCGGAUUCAUUGGGCGUAAAGGGUGCGUAGGCGGCGCGGUAAGUCGGGUGUGAAAUCUCGGAGCUUAACUCCGA
RNAcentral lists this ribosomal RNA (625 nucleotides) under uncultured Verrucomicrobiota bacterium. RNAcentral's name for it is "bacterial SSU rRNA". It matches the Rfam family "Bacterial small subunit ribosomal RNA", at positions 1 to 618 of the family's 1533-position model. The record is from RNAcentral. Lineage: Bacteria; Pseudomonadati; Verrucomicrobiota.